This 211-nucleotide small nucleolar RNA is filed under the name Prunus dulcis (almond). Its description in RNAcentral is "sRNA ncRNA". Lineage: Eukaryota; Viridiplantae; Streptophyta; Magnoliopsida; Rosales; Rosaceae. The record is from RNAcentral.
GAGUAUAGAGGAAAAAGAGUGAGAAUGAGAGUAGAGAUGAGAUUGAGAGGAGAGGAUGAGAGGGAGAAAUAACAAAAGUGAAAACACAAACUAAGAAUUGAAAUAUAUUUCAAAUUGUUUUCAAUUUCAAGAUUGUGGUUUCACUUUUGUUACUCAUCUCUCUCAAUCUCAUCCUCAUUCCCUUUCUCACUCCCAUUUUUCUCCAUACUCU